AAAGGAUUAGUUAACUUAUAUAACAUCAGAAUGUCAAACUGAAGUAAUCAACAAAGAUAUCCUUUU
This 66-nucleotide transfer RNA is filed under the name Neocapritermes sp. H TB-2017. RNAcentral's name for it is "tRNA-Asp". The record is from RNAcentral. Lineage: Eukaryota; Metazoa; Arthropoda; Insecta; Blattodea; Termitidae.